CCUACGGGCGGCAGCAGUGAGGAAUAUUGGUCAAUGGACGAGAGUCUGAACCAGCCAAGUAGCGUGAAGGAUGACUGCCCUAUGGGUUGUAAACUUCUUUUAUAUGGGAAUAAAAUGUUCCACGUGUGGGAUUUUAUAUGUACCAUAUGAAUAAGGAUCGGCUAACUCCGUGCCAGCAGCCGCGGUAAUACGGAGGGUCCGAGCGUUAUCCGGAUUUAUUGGGUUUAAAGGGAGCGUAGGUGGAUUGUUAAGUCAGUUGUGAAAGUUUGCGGCUCAACCGUAAAAUUGCAGUUGAAACUGGCAGUCGUGAGUACAGUAGAGGUGGGCGGAAUUCGUGGUGUAGCGGUGAAAUGCUUAGAUAUCACGAAGAACUCCGAUUGCGAAGGCAGCUCACUGGACUGCAACUGACACUGAGGCUCGAAAGUGUGGGUAUCAAACAGGAUUAGAUACCCCUGUAGUC
Molecule: ribosomal RNA, 460 nt
Filed under: uncultured bacterium
Lineage: Bacteria
Description: partial 16S ribosomal RNA
Rfam family: Bacterial small subunit ribosomal RNA
Source: RNAcentral